This 241-nucleotide ribosomal RNA is filed under the name uncultured Staphylococcus sp. RNAcentral describes it as "partial 16S ribosomal RNA". It matches the Rfam family "Bacterial small subunit ribosomal RNA", at positions 100 to 334 of the family's 1533-position model. Lineage: Bacteria; Bacillati; Bacillota; Bacilli; Caryophanales; Staphylococcaceae. The record is from RNAcentral.
GGGACGGGUGAGUAACACGUGGAUAACCUACCUAUAAGACUGGGAUAACUUCGGGAAACCGGAGCUAAUACCGGAUAAUAUAUUGAACCGCAUGGUUCAAUAGUGAAAGACGGUUUUGCUGUCACUUAUAGAUGGAUCCGCGCCGCAUUAGCUAGUUGGUAAGGUAACGGCUUACCAAGGCAACGAUGCGUAGCCGACCUGAGAGGGUGAUUGGCCACACUGGAACUGAGACACGGUCCAG